CCCUUAGAUGUUCUGGGCUGCACGCGCGCUACACUGAUGCAUGCAACGAGUUUUCGACCUUGCCUGAAAAGGCUGGGUAAUCUGUUUAACAUGUGUCGUGAUGGGGAUAGACCAUUGCAAUUAUUGAUCUUCAACGAGGAAUUCCUAGUAAGCGCGAGUCAUCAGCUCGUGCUGAUUAUGUCCCUGCCCUUUGUACACACCGCCCGUCGCUCCUACCGAUUGAGUGGUCCGGUGAGGCUUUGGGAUCUGAGCGGAAAGAGCGUUUCGCCGUUUCUGCUCGGAAAACUCAGUCGAACCUUAUCAUUUAGAGGAAGGAGAAGUCGUAACA
RNAcentral lists this ribosomal RNA (328 nucleotides) under uncultured eukaryote. RNAcentral's name for it is "partial 18S ribosomal RNA". It matches the Rfam family "Eukaryotic small subunit ribosomal RNA", at positions 1470 to 1796 of the family's 1831-position model. The record is from RNAcentral.